Long non-coding RNA from Dermacentor albipictus, 448 nucleotides. RefSeq lists it as uncharacterized. The record is from RefSeq and is a predicted model, not a curated record. NCBI's taxonomy places the organism in Eukaryota, Metazoa, Arthropoda, Arachnida, Ixodida, Ixodidae.
UCAUUCGUUCGUACACUCAAGACUGGUUGCUUCUUUGUUUCUAAAACUAGUUUCUUGUGCUUCUAUGUAACUUGGGGUGAAGUUACGUGUUUGCAAGCGGACAUGCAAGCCCGGCAGUUGGGUUUCGGUCGUGAGCCAUUCGGGACAGGUCUGCAUCGAAACGGGAGCUGGAUUUUGCUGCGGCUGACAACGGCAAUAACGACAUGCAGUAAUGAGGACGGCACCAGUAUAAAGCAACACACUCCACGCACUAAACAGAAGCUGCUGCCUGCUACGACAAGGUCAUUGUGUGGACAUUGGCUACUACUACAAGAGUCUAUGCCAAGCACAUCUUGGUCAUCACAGGAGCUCCUAUCUGCACCAACAGGAAGGGGCUGGAGCCGAAUUUGCAAGGCUUUUACACCAAGAACAAAGAAGCACAUGCACAAGAAUAUGGAUGAGAUAUCAA